Molecule: long non-coding RNA, 90 nt
Organism: Sinocyclocheilus grahami
Lineage: Eukaryota; Metazoa; Chordata; Actinopteri; Cypriniformes; Cyprinidae
Exons: 3
Source: RefSeq, a predicted model, not a curated record
UUAAGAUAUUACAGGGUGUCUACAGAUAUGAACAAAUUAAAUUUAAGACUUUUUAAGACCAUUUUAAUACGAGCUUAUGUGAAAUUUAAG